RNAcentral lists this transfer RNA (76 nucleotides) under Staphylococcus aureus. RNAcentral's name for it is "tRNA-Ala". It matches the Rfam family "tRNA". Rfam says of the family: Transfer RNA (tRNA) molecules are approximately 80 nucleotides in length. Lineage: Bacteria; Bacillati; Bacillota; Bacilli; Caryophanales; Staphylococcaceae. The record is from RNAcentral. RNAcentral also lists the same sequence under 3 other names.
GGGGGCUUAGCUCACCUGGGAGAGCGCCUGCUUUGCACGCAGGAGGUCAGCGGUUCGAUCCCGCUAGUCUCCACCA